RNAcentral lists this antisense RNA (75 nucleotides) under Streptomyces sp. 3211.6. RNAcentral's name for it is "ASpks TB sRNA". It matches the Rfam family "ASpks TB sRNA". The record is from RNAcentral. Lineage: Bacteria; Bacillati; Actinomycetota; Actinomycetes; Kitasatosporales; Streptomycetaceae. RNAcentral also lists the same sequence under 1 other name.
CUUCACCGACCCGAGCCACAGCGGUUCGCCGCCCGCACGCUCCUGGCCGUAGGUGGCCAGCAGCGCCUGGGCCUC